AUGGAAACCAAGGGAAUCAAAAUUAUCAUAGAGUUUCGGUCCAAUAUGAAAUAAUGUAUUCACCUUGGGAUGUUGCUGGGUUUAGACUUAGAGGUCUCACUUUGCCUUGUUCCAUCAUCUCCCUGCAAUGAAGGGUCCAGGAGCAAUUCAAACUCCAGAGCUGACUCUAUAAAUAAUUUUGUUUUUCAGUAGAACUUAACGAUAUGGUGAGAUGUGAGUUACUGCAAUUAACCAAAGAGCAAAUGAUGUAACUGCAAAGCAUUUUCACAUUUUUAUGGAUAAGAAAAAUUGUAUGGUAAAGCACUCUAAAAAUUGUAUAAGUUUUUCGUGCUGGUGUUUUUGUUGUCACUCAUCUCUACCAUCUAAUUUAUUUUGAAUAUCUG
RNAcentral lists this long non-coding RNA (383 nucleotides) under Marmota monax (woodchuck). Lineage: Eukaryota; Metazoa; Chordata; Mammalia; Rodentia; Sciuridae. The record is from RNAcentral.